GAGAUGACAUCAGGUGAAUGACAUAGGCAUUGUGACCUAGCAUUAGGUAACAACUGACCAGAUCAUACAUCAGAGGAGGAUCAUCUUCUUCCGGGUCAGGGCUAACUCUGGGAAACUGAAACCUCGGAAAGAGAAAGCAAAACCAGUAUUGGGCGUCAAGGGGCAAGCUACUAUACUUGAAUUGCUGAGUGCCUGUGUGUGCCCAACUUCUGCUACACAGUAUCAGCAGACAGCCAUUGCCUAGAAAGAGAGAGCACAAGCAGAGGGAGAAGCAGGCUUCCUGCUGAGCAAAGAGCCCGAUGCAGAUUCAAUUCCAGAACCCCAGGAUCACGACCUGAGCUGAAGGCGGAUGCUCAACAGACUGAGCCACCCAGACAACCCAAUGAAGAAUUCCCUCCAGCCUAUGGAACACUACAUGGAUCUCCUCAUUCAGAUACCAGGAAACAACUCACCUAUGGGCAAGAAAAUAUUGCGACCGUUCGCACUAUCUCGAGCGGGGCCUCUGAAAUUUUGGUUUUAUACUGUCCAAAUUUACCUCUUUGUUGUCCAAAUCACCAAAAAUCACUGAAGGGGAGAGGAAAGAAGAAAGGAGUCAAUGCUGGAGGAAGACAUGGGGGUGGGGUGUAGUUUCUUGCUGACCUCUGCAAACAGUGCUGACCCACAUUAUAAUGGUGAUACUGUGGACGAGGUUACACGGUAUUUCCAAUCGUGACAAGGUUUACAUUUCCAACAAUGGCCCCAUAAUCUAGCAACAGUUCCUUCCUCGGUACCUCACAUCUGCCUAACGUUCCUUCCCUCAUUGGUUCAACAAAAUUCUGCCUUCCCAGGAUCUGUGUUAGGGGCUGGAAUAAAAAUACAAGUAAACCGUGGUCUUUACUUUCUAAAUAGCUCAUUUCUGCAGAGAAAACAAGAUCACUGAUAGAUACAACUGAAGAAUAAUGAGUUAAACCCAUGUGUCCUAGAAACAAAUCUUCAUAGACAGUAGGGCUCAGAAUGAGCUGAAGUUGUAGGGGGAAAAAAAGCGAAAAGCAAACAAAAAGCC
Molecule: long non-coding RNA, 1042 nt
Filed under: Mustela putorius furo (domestic ferret)
Lineage: Eukaryota; Metazoa; Chordata; Mammalia; Carnivora; Mustelidae
Description: lncRNA (ENSMPUG00000031890.1)
Source: RNAcentral